GGAGGGAUACCCAAGUGGCCAAAGGGGCCAGGCUGUAAACCUGGUGCGUUCGCGCUUCGAAGGUUCGAAUCCUUCUCCCUCCA
This 83-nucleotide transfer RNA is filed under the name Deltaproteobacteria bacterium. RNAcentral's name for it is "tRNA-Tyr". It matches the Rfam family "tRNA". From Rfam's summary of the family: Transfer RNA (tRNA) molecules are approximately 80 nucleotides in length. Lineage: Bacteria; Pseudomonadati; Myxococcota; Myxococcia. The record is from RNAcentral.